Molecule: ribosomal RNA, 466 nt
Filed under: uncultured bacterium
Lineage: Bacteria
Description: bacterial SSU rRNA
Rfam family: Bacterial small subunit ribosomal RNA
Source: RNAcentral
UAGGGAAUAUUGGGCAAUGGAGGGAACUCUGACCCAGCCAUGCCGCGUGCAGGAUGAAGGCGUUAUGCGUUGUAAACUGCUUUUAUAUAGGAAGAAAUAGUCCUUGCGAGGAAAGUUGACGGUACUAUAUGAAUAAGCACCGGCUAACUCCGUGCCAGCAGCCGCGGUAAUACGGAGGGUGCAAGCGUUGUCCGGAUUUAUUGGGUUUAAAGGGUGCGUAGGCGGUUUAUUAAGUCAGUGGUGAAAGACGGUCGCUCAACGAUUGCAGUGCCAUUGAUACUGGUAGACUUGAGUAUGAUUGAGGUAGCUGGAAUGGAUAGUGUAGCGGUGAAAUGCAUAGAUAUUAUCCAGAACACCAAUUGCGUAGGCAAGUUACUAAGUCAUAACUGACGCUGAGGCACGAAAGUGUGGGUAUCAAACAGGAUUAGAUACCCAUGUAGUCCCUGAGCGGGCUGGCAAGGCGCAU